RNAcentral lists this unclassified non-coding RNA (294 nucleotides) under plant metagenome. RNAcentral describes it as "partial contains small subunit ribosomal RNA, internal transcribed spacer 1, and 5.8S ribosomal RNA". The stretch from base 1 to 54 matches the Rfam family "Eukaryotic small subunit ribosomal RNA", at positions 1778 to 1831 of the family's 1831-position model. The record is from RNAcentral.
GGAAGUCAACGUCGUAACAAGGUUUCCGUAGGUGAACCUGCGGAAGGAUCAUUAAUGAGUUGUCAUGGGGUUCGAUGCUGGCAGCCAGUUUUUGGAUGCAUGUGCUUGCCCUAACAAUCAUCUUCUUCCAAACACCUGUGCACAUUUUUGAGGGAGUCUUGAGUUGGUUGCCGCUCUUGGGUGAUUUUCUCACAUUCCCUUAAAUCAUUAUACGCUAUUAACAAUGUUGAACGUGCUCUGUGCCGCAAGGCCAUUAAUAUAAUACAACUUUUAACAACGGAUCUCUUGGCUCUC